AAAACGACAAACCCUGGUUUCCGUGCCCAACGUUUGACCGUCCGUCUUAUUUGAAAAAAUUAUGAAAAAAAUUAAAAAGACAAGUCACACAUAAAAUAUUAAUCAUGUUUUAUCAUCUAACAACAAUGAAAAUAUAAAUUGUAAAAAAAUUUCAUAAGAAGGACAGUCAAUACGGAAAUCCAGGGUUUGUUUUUUU
Molecule: non-coding RNA, 196 nt
Organism: Oryza glumipatula
Lineage: Eukaryota; Viridiplantae; Streptophyta; Magnoliopsida; Poales; Poaceae
Source: Rfam